UAUCCACACAACUCCUGGCUGUCCAACUUUAUCUGACAUGAACCAUUUUGUGUAUAGUUAGUUAUUUUACUUUUGAUAUUUUAAGUAACCUACAUUUCAUGAGAAAUACGUACAGUAUGCACUUGUUACUGAAGUAGCUAAAGGAACAAAAUAUUUCUUCUACCACGGGAUUAUUGACAGAUGGACAUGCCCACAUUUGUAUUAUUUAGUCUAGUUAAAGUAAAUUUUAAAAAGCAAAUGCUGCACCUAACAAGUAUUUUCAUUAUCGACGAAUCUGUUGUUAGUUAAAUAACCUGUUAUUUAUUGAUAAAAUACCAGUGGAAAAAAAAAUGCCAAAGCCUACACUCAUGUCUUCAAACUGGCUGUUUUGUCCAACCAAAAGUCCAAACAUCUGAAAAAGUUAGAAACAGAGCCAUUGACAUUUUAGUUUGAUAACUGACUUAAAUUUGUCAUCGGUUAUCAAAAAAUGUUGACCAAUUUUAAGUCGAUCAUCCAGUCCAGCAGUUUUCUCUUAAAGCUGAUGGAAAGCAUUUAAUAAUUUGCUAAGCGUAAGACAAAAGCAGUAUUAAAAUACUGUAUAAGGAUAUUGGAUGGAAAUCAUAAGUUUGACCAAAGACAAAUGCUCAUAGUUGGUGUCCAGUUCAAAUGUUGUCCAUGUUAGACUGUUUCAUCACAGUGUUUCUCCUUCCUGCCAGCAGAUGUCACUGAUGGGUCUCAGGCAGCAACUGACAGGAUGAUGAUGUCAGAGUUCUGCUGGCCAAUGGGGCUCCGUUCACAGCAGACUGGUGUGACCUUCUGGCUGAGGCCUCGUAUGGAGCUCAAGGCAAAGUGAGAAACACUGAGCAGACACCCACUGAAGUGUGAAACUGCUCUCAGCUCUUAGAUUUUUCUCUUUGCUGUGAUCUGUCUGUGGGGCGCCGUGUAUCUGUGCAGAAGUGUGCUGACAUCAGUGCCAAAAACACACUGAAGAUGACAGUGCUGGGAGGCUCAAGACGGCCACAGGGAGGUGGCCGAGCUCGUGCCGGGGUACGGAGCAGACGUCCACAAGUGUGACAAGAAGAAGUAAUGCUGAGCUGAUGCCACGGCUACAGGCAGCAGAUCAAUUUGGAAAUGAUCAUGACAGAAUUCAGUAUAACUUGGACGGUAUGCACAACCAGGAAAACAUCAACCCUGAGUCCCACUACGUCGUCCCUGCCUGUUAGGGCGGAUCACCACCUCUAAG
This is a long non-coding RNA of Scatophagus argus, 1222 nucleotides long. RefSeq lists it as uncharacterized. The transcript has 4 exons. Lineage: Eukaryota; Metazoa; Chordata; Actinopteri; Scatophagidae. The record is from RefSeq and is a predicted model, not a curated record.